This 2901-nucleotide ribosomal RNA is filed under the name Escherichia coli. RNAcentral's name for it is "23S ribosomal RNA". It matches the Rfam family "Bacterial large subunit ribosomal RNA". Lineage: Bacteria; Pseudomonadati; Pseudomonadota; Gammaproteobacteria; Enterobacterales; Enterobacteriaceae. The record is from RNAcentral.
UUAAGCGACUAAGCGUACACGGUGGAUGCCCUGGCAGUCAGAGGCGAUGAAGGACGUGCUAAUCUGCGAUAAGCGUCGGUAAGGUGAUAUGAACCGUUAUAACCGGCGAUUUCCGAAUGGGGAAACCCAGUGUGAUUCGUCACACUAUCAUUAACUGAAUCCAUAGGUUAAUGAGGCGAACCGGGGGAACUGAAACAUCUAAGUACCCCGAGGAAAAGAAAUCAACCGAGAUUCCCCCAGUAGCGGCGAGCGAACGGGGAGGAGCCCAGAGCCUGAAUCAGUGUGUGUGUUAGUGGAAGCGUCUGGAAAGGCGCGCGAUACAGGGUGACAGCCCCGUACACAAAAAUGCACAUAUUGUGAGCUCGAUGAGUAGGGCGGGACACGUGGUAUCCUGUCUGAAUAUGGGGGGACCAUCCUCCAAGGCUAAAUACUCCUGACUGACCGAUAGUGAACCAGUACCGUGAGGGAAAGGCGAAAAGAACCCCGGCGAGGGGAGUGAAAAAGAACCUGAAACCGUGUACGUACAAGCAGUGGGAGCACGCUUAGGCGUGUGACUGCGUACCUUUUGUAUAAUGGGUCAGCGACUUAUAUUCUGUAGCAAGGUUAACCGAAUAGGGGAGCCGAAGGGAAACCGAGUCUUAACUGGGCGUUAAGUUGCAGGGUAUAGACCCGAAACCCGGUGAUCUAGCCAUGGGCAGGUUGAAGGUUGGGUAACACUAACUGGAGGACCGAACCGACUAAUGUUGAAAAAUUAGCGGAUGACUUGUGGCUGGGGGUGAAAGGCCAAUCAAACCGGGAGAUAGCUGGUUCUCCCCGAAAGCUAUUUAGGUAGCGCCUCGUGAAUUCAUCUCCGGGGGUAGAGCACUGUUUCGGCAAGGGGGUCAUCCCGACUUACCAACCCGAUGCAAACUGCGAAUACCGGAGAAUGUUAUCACGGGAGACACACGGCGGGUGCUAACGUCCGUCGUGAAGAGGGAAACAACCCAGACCGCCAGCUAAGGUCCCAAAGUCAUGGUUAAGUGGGAAACGAUGUGGGAAGGCCCAGACAGCCAGGAUGUUGGCUUAGAAGCAGCCAUCAUUUAAAGAAAGCGUAAUAGCUCACUGGUCGAGUCGGCCUGCGCGGAAGAUGUAACGGGGCUAAACCAUGCACCGAAGCUGCGGCAGCGACGCUUAUGCGUUGUUGGGUAGGGGAGCGUUCUGUAAGCCUGUGAAGGUGUGCUGUGAGGCAUGCUGGAGGUAUCAGAAGUGCGAAUGCUGACAUAAGUAACGAUAAAGCGGGUGAAAAGCCCGCUCGCCGGAAGACCAAGGGUUCCUGUCCAACGUUAAUCGGGGCAGGGUGAGUCGACCCCUAAGGCGAGGCCGAAAGGCGUAGUCGAUGGGAAACAGGUUAAUAUUCCUGUACUUGGUGUUACUGCGAAGGGGGGACGGAGAAGGCUAUGUUGGCCGGGCGACGGUUGUCCCGGUUUAAGCGUGUAGGCUGGUUUUCCAGGCAAAUCCGGAAAAUCAAGGCUGAGGCGUGAUGACGAGGCACUACGGUGCUGAAGCAACAAAUGCCCUGCUUCCAGGAAAAGCCUCUAAGCAUCAGGUAACAUCAAAUCGUACCCCAAACCGACACAGGUGGUCAGGUAGAGAAUACCAAGGCGCUUGAGAGAACUCGGGUGAAGGAACUAGGCAAAAUGGUGCCGUAACUUCGGGAGAAGGCACGCUGAUAUGUAGGUGAGGUCCCUCGCGGAUGGAGCUGAAAUCAGUCGAAGAUACCAGCUGGCUGCAACUGUUUAUUAAAAACACAGCACUGUGCAAACACGAAAGUGGACGUAUACGGUGUGACGCCUGCCCGGUGCCGGAAGGUUAAUUGAUGGGGUUAGCGCAAGCGAAGCUCUUGAUCGAAGCCCCGGUAAACGGCGGCCGUAACUAUAACGGUCCUAAGGUAGCGAAAUUCCUUGUCGGGUAAGUUCCGACCUGCACGAAUGGCGUAAUGAUGGCCAGGCUGUCUCCACCCGAGACUCAGUGAAAUUGAACUCGCUGUGAAGAUGCAGUGUACCCGCGGCAAGACGGAAAGACCCCGUGAACCUUUACUAUAGCUUGACACUGAACAUUGAGCCUUGAUGUGUAGGAUAGGUGGGAGGCUUAGAAGUGUGGACGCCAGUCUGCAUGGAGCCGACCUUGAAAUACCACCCUUUAAUGUUUGAUGUUCUAACGUUGACCCGUAAUCCGGGUUGCGGACAGUGUCUGGUGGGUAGUUUGACUGGGGCGGUCUCCUCCUAAAGAGUAACGGAGGAGCACGAAGGUUGGCUAAUCCUGGUCGGACAUCAGGAGGUUAGUGCAAUGGCAUAAGCCAGCUUGACUGCGAGCGUGACGGCGCGAGCAGGUGCGAAAGCAGGUCAUAGUGAUCCGGUGGUUCUGAAUGGAAGGGCCAUCGCUCAACGGAUAAAAGGUACUCCGGGGAUAACAGGCUGAUACCGCCCAAGAGUUCAUAUCGACGGCGGUGUUUGGCACCUCGAUGUCGGCUCAUCACAUCCUGGGGCUGAAGUAGGUCCCAAGGGUAUGGCUGUUCGCCAUUUAAAGUGGUACGCGAGCUGGGUUUAGAACGUCGUGAGACAGUUCGGUCCCUAUCUGCCGUGGGCGCUGGAGAACUGAGGGGGGCUGCUCCUAGUACGAGAGGACCGGAGUGGACGCAUCACUGGUGUUCGGGUUGUCAUGCCAAUGGCACUGCCCGGUAGCUAAAUGCGGAAGAGAUAAGUGCUGAAAGCAUCUAAGCACGAAACUUGCCCCGAGAUGAGUUCUCCCUGACCCUUUAAGGGUCCUGAAGGAACGUUGAAGACGACGACGUUGAUAGGCCGGGUGUGUAAGCGCAGCGAUGCGUUGAGCUAACCGGUACUAAUGAACCGUGAGGCUUAACCU